RNAcentral lists this transfer RNA (713 nucleotides) under Bradyrhizobium yuanmingense. Its description in RNAcentral is "partial 16S-23S ribosomal RNA intergenic spacer". The stretch from base 144 to 217 matches the Rfam family "tRNA". Lineage: Bacteria; Pseudomonadati; Pseudomonadota; Alphaproteobacteria; Hyphomicrobiales; Nitrobacteraceae. The record is from RNAcentral.
AAACAUCAGUGGCCAACAGAUCGCCAGAUCGUUGAGCUGCAUUGGCGGGAUUUCGCCGUCUUCGUUUCUCUUUCUUCGCGGACGAACACGCGCUGGGCCUGCAUCAAGCAGGAUCCCACGGUCCCUGACGGGAUAUGCGUUAGGGGCUUGUAGCUCAGUUGGUUAGAGCGCGCGCUUGAUAAGCGUGAGGUCGGAAGUUCAAGUCUUCCCAGGCCCACCACUUUCAUCGAGUGAGCAUUCGUCUUCUGGUUACGGGGCCAUAGCUCAGCUGGGAGAGCGCGUGCUUUGCAAGCAUGAGGUCGUCGGUUCGAUCCCGUCUGGCUCCACCAGAUGGUUUGAUCACCGAGAUCUUGCACCGUCGUCCGCGAAACAUCACUUCGCAUCCUGCUAGUCUGGAUAGACAGCAAGAUGCGUGUUUUCUGACAUCGUAAAGAGGAGAUCGAUCCGAGUUGGGUCGCGCAGCAGAUUGUUGCGCGAACCUUCAUUAUCUCCGGAUCAUUUUCGGCGCUCGCUUUCAGCCGUGAGGUUGAAUGCGAGUUGUAAAAUGAUCCUUUUAGCGAAGCUUGACCGCCUCGCUAUCGGAACGAUCUUACGAAGCAAGCUGGUCUUUCUAGUCAAUGUCCGGCUGCACGUAGCAUUCAUCGAGGGUGCGCGCCGUAAGGCAAUCGUGCAGACAGCAUUCUGCCGAGUGUGUGGACAUUGAUAAUGAGAGC